This 305-nucleotide ribosomal RNA is filed under the name uncultured bacterium. Its description in RNAcentral is "bacterial SSU rRNA". It matches the Rfam family "Bacterial small subunit ribosomal RNA", at positions 334 to 656 of the family's 1533-position model. The record is from RNAcentral.
CUUCCCUACGGGGGGCAGCAGUGGGGAAUAUUGCACGAUGGGGGAAACCCUGAUGCAGCGACGCCGCGUGAGUGAAGAAGUAUUUCGGUAUGUAAAGCUCUAUCAGCAGGGAAGAUAAUGACGGUACCUGACUAAGAAGCCCCGGCUAACUACGUGCCAGCAGCCGCGGUAAUACGUAGGGGGCAAGCGUUAUCCGGAUUUACUGGGUGUAAAGGGUGCGUAGGUGGCAGGGCAAGUCAGAUGUGAAAGCCCGGGGCUCAACCCCGGUACUGCAUUUGAAACUGUAGUUCUUGAGUGUUGGAGAG